This 318-nucleotide ribosomal RNA is filed under the name uncultured bacterium. RNAcentral describes it as "bacterial SSU rRNA". It matches the Rfam family "Bacterial small subunit ribosomal RNA", at positions 28 to 338 of the family's 1533-position model. The record is from RNAcentral.
GACGAACGCUGGCGGCGUGCUUAACACAUGCAAGUCGAGCGGAGACUUUAUUGUAUUUAUAUAGUAAAGACUCAGCGGCGGACGGGUGAGUAACACGUGGGUAACCUGCCUCGAAGUGGGGAAUAGCCUUCCGAAAGGAAGAUUAAUACCGCAUAAUAUUAACUUUUCGCAUGAUUAGUUAAUUAAAGGAUUUAUUCGCUUCGAGAUGGACCCGCGGCGCAUUAGUUAGUUGGUGAGGUAAAGGCUCACCAAGACAAUGAUGCGAGCCGACCUGAGAGGGUGAUCGGCCACAUUGGAACUGAGACACGGCCCAGACUC